This is a small nucleolar RNA of Cyprinodon tularosa, 69 nucleotides long. RefSeq annotates it as small nucleolar RNA SNORD58. Lineage: Eukaryota; Metazoa; Chordata; Actinopteri; Cyprinodontiformes; Cyprinodontidae. The transcript has a single exon. The record is from RefSeq and is a predicted model, not a curated record.
UGGCUGUGAUGACUCUUAGGACACCUUUGAUAUAAACUUGAAACCAAAUUAAAGUAAAGCCUGAGCUGC